This 484-nucleotide ribosomal RNA is filed under the name uncultured bacterium. Its description in RNAcentral is "partial 16S ribosomal RNA". It matches the Rfam family "Bacterial small subunit ribosomal RNA", at positions 30 to 507 of the family's 1533-position model. The record is from RNAcentral.
AUUGAACGCUGGCGGCAGGCCUAACACAUGCAAGUCGAGCGGAUGAAGGGAGCUUGCUCCUGGAUUCAGCGGCGGACGGGUGAGUAAUGCCUAGGAAUCUGCCUGGUAGUGGGGGAUAACGUCCGGAAACGGGCGCUAAUACCGCAUACGUCCUGAGGGAGAAAGUGGGGGAUCUUCGGACCUCACGCUAUCAGAUGAGCCUAGGUCGGAUUAGCUAGUUGGUGGGGUAAAGGCCUACCAAGGCGACGAUCCGUAACUGGUCUGAGAGGAUGAUCAGUCACACUGGAACUGAGACACGGUCCAGACUCCUACGGGAGGCAGCAGUGGGGAAUAUUGGACGAUGGGCGGAAGCCUGAUCCAGCCAUGCCGCGUGUGUGAAGAAGGUCUUCGGAUUGUAAAGCACUUUAAGUUGGGAGGAAGGGCAGUGAGUUAAUACCUUGCUGUUUUGACGUUACCAACAGAAUAAGCACCGGCUAACUUCGUG